CGGUCCUUCACCUUUCGGGGUGAAGGAUAGUGGCGAACGGGUGAGUAACGCGUAAGUAACCUGCCCUCAAGUAGGGAAUAACUUUGAGAAAUUGGAGCUAAUACCGUAUGUGGUGAUGAAGGUAAUGCUGCAUCACUAAAGCCUUAGGGCGCUUGGGGAGGGGCUUGCGUCCGAUUAGCUAGCUGGUAGGGUAACGGCUUACCAAGGCGAUGAUCGGUAGCUGGUUUGAGAGGACGGCCAGCCACAUUGGGACUGAGACACGGCCCAGACUCCUAUGGGAGGCAGCAGCAAGGAAUAUUGUGCAAUGGGCGAAAGCCUGACACAGCGACACCGCGUGGGGGAUGAAGGCCUUCGGGUCGUAAACCCCUUUUCUCAGGGAAGAAUAAUGACGGUACCUGAGGAAUAAGUCACGGCUAACUACGUGCCAGCAGCCGCGGUAAUACGUAGGUGGCGAGCGUUAUCCGGAUUUACUGGGCGUAAAGAGGGCGUAGGCGGCUUUUCAAGUCGGAUAUAAAAUCUCCUGGCUUAACUGGG
Molecule: ribosomal RNA, 534 nt
Filed under: uncultured bacterium
Lineage: Bacteria
Description: bacterial SSU rRNA
Rfam family: Bacterial small subunit ribosomal RNA
Source: RNAcentral